RNAcentral lists this ribosomal RNA (434 nucleotides) under uncultured Lachnospiraceae bacterium. Its description in RNAcentral is "bacterial SSU rRNA". It matches the Rfam family "Bacterial small subunit ribosomal RNA", at positions 341 to 792 of the family's 1533-position model. The record is from RNAcentral. Lineage: Bacteria; Bacillati; Bacillota; Clostridia; Lachnospirales; Lachnospiraceae.
ACGGAAGGCAGCAGUGAGGAAUAUUGCACAAUGGGCGCAAGCCUGAUGCAGCGACGCCGCGUGAGCGAAGAAGUAUUUCGGUAUGUAAAGCUCUAUCAGCAGGGAAGAAAAUGACGGUACCUGACUAAGAAGCUCCGGCUAAAUACGUGCCAGCAGCCGCGGUAAUACGUAUGGAGCAAGCGUUAUCCGGAUUUACUGGGUGUAAAGGGAGCGUAGACGGAACAGCAAGUCUGAUGUGAAAGGCAGGGGCUCAACUCCUGGACUGCAUUGGAAACUGCUGAUCUUGAGUGCCGGAGAGGUAAGCGGAAUUCCUAGUGUAGCGGUGAAAUGCGUAGAUAUUAGGAGGAACACCAGUGGCGAAGGCGGCCUGCUGGACGACAACUGACGCUGAGGCGCGAAAGCGUGGGGAGCAAACAGGAUUAGAUACCCUGGUA